This 253-nucleotide ribosomal RNA is filed under the name uncultured bacterium. RNAcentral's name for it is "partial 16S ribosomal RNA". It matches the Rfam family "Bacterial small subunit ribosomal RNA", at positions 524 to 776 of the family's 1533-position model. The record is from RNAcentral.
UACGUAGGUGGCAAGCGUUGUCCGGAAUUACUAGGCGUAAAGGGCAGGUAGGUGGUUCGGUAAGUCUGUUGUGUAAGCUCCCGGCUUAACUGGGAGAGGUCAACGGAAACUACCGAGCUUGAGUAUAGGAGAGGUUACUGGAAUUCCAGGUGUAGCGGUGAAAUGCGUAGAUAUCUGGAGGAACACCGGUGGCGAAGGCGACAUCCUGGACCGGUAUUGACGCUGAGGCGCGAAAGCCAGGGGAGCAAACGGG